CGGGCUGAGUAACACGUAGGAACGUACCCCAAACUGAGGCAUAAGCACCAGAAAUGGUGUCUAAUACCGCAUGUGCUCUUCGGAGUAAAGCUACGGCGGUUUGGGAACGGCCUGCGCAUGAUUAGCUUGUUGGUGAGGUAAUAGCUCACCAAGGCGACGAUCAUUAGCUGGUCUGAGAGGAUGAUCAGCCAGACUGGGACUGAGAACGGCCCAG
This 214-nucleotide ribosomal RNA is filed under the name uncultured bacterium. Its description in RNAcentral is "partial 16S ribosomal RNA". It matches the Rfam family "Bacterial small subunit ribosomal RNA", at positions 104 to 334 of the family's 1533-position model. The record is from RNAcentral.